Molecule: unclassified non-coding RNA, 598 nt
Filed under: Hevea brasiliensis (rubber tree)
Lineage: Eukaryota; Viridiplantae; Streptophyta; Magnoliopsida; Malpighiales; Euphorbiaceae
Source: RNAcentral
AUUAAAUAUUUGUACAAGUAUAAUGUUUUCCAAAUCGCAUUUAUUGUUCUAGCGGGUUUGACUUUUGUGUAUUAUGCUGCCUUCGGAUGGAGAAGAAAAAAGCCAAGUGGCAGAUUCCAGCUUUCCUCCUAAGGCAUGUUUUAGACCAAAAGUGCAUGCACCCAGUUGGAGUCCUCAGAGUUUGUAUCAUCCCUUGGGGAGUGUUGUUUCAUAUCGGGAUGCAUGUCUAUGGCCCAGUUUUGUUUAUGUUGAAAGGUUUAGAGAGGUAGGCCAAGAUAAUCCGAGUAAAAUUGGGCGGCUGUGGUGGGAGUGGCAUGGUGAGUGCUGCUGCUUUUUCUGAUUGUUUCCCCCCUUUUGUAUGUAUUAUUCUUUGUUUGGAUAAUAUUAUACACUGACUUGGGCAUGAACGAGUUAUCUUUAGCAAACACGAGAGAUGGAUUUGUAUAACUUCUCUGGAUGUAAUAUAAAGAUUGAGAGCAAAAGGAUCUUAUAGUUUCCAUCAUCAUGGGUAGGCUUUGUUAUGUGUCAUUCGUUUUGUUUCAUUGAUGUAUUUGAAGCUUCAUCUGCAAAGAAGAUUUAUGGUUGGGUUAAGAAAUUU